RNAcentral lists this ribosomal RNA (204 nucleotides) under uncultured bacterium. Its description in RNAcentral is "partial 16S ribosomal RNA". It matches the Rfam family "Bacterial small subunit ribosomal RNA", at positions 1289 to 1500 of the family's 1533-position model. The record is from RNAcentral.
CAGUUCGGAUCGGAGUCUGCAACCCGACUCCGUGAAGCUGGAUUCGCUAGUAAUCGCGCAUCAGCCAUGGCGCGGUGAAUACGUUCCCGGGCCUUGUACACACCGCCCGUCAAGCCAUGGAAGCCGGGGGCGCUUGAAGUGCGUAACCGCGAGGAUCGCCCUAGGGUAAAACUGGUGACUGGGGCUAAGUCGUAACAAGGUAAC